RNAcentral lists this transfer RNA (73 nucleotides) under Cricetulus griseus (Chinese hamster). It matches the Rfam family "tRNA". Rfam says of the family: Transfer RNA (tRNA) molecules are approximately 80 nucleotides in length. Lineage: Eukaryota; Metazoa; Chordata; Mammalia; Rodentia; Cricetidae. The record is from Rfam by way of RNAcentral.
GCCCAGCUAGCUAAGUUGGUAGACCAUGGGACUCUUAAACCCAGGGUUGUGGGUUUAUGCCCCACGUUGGGUG